This 485-nucleotide ribosomal RNA is filed under the name bacterium M00.F.Ca.ET.229.01.1.1. RNAcentral describes it as "partial 23S ribosomal RNA". It matches the Rfam family "Bacterial large subunit ribosomal RNA", at positions 58 to 526 of the family's 2925-position model. The record is from RNAcentral.
GUGAUACGCUGCGAUAAGCUACGGGGAGGUUCGAAUACCCUUUGAUCCGUAGAUCUCCGAAUGGGGAAACCCACCUAAGGUACUUGGAAAAUCAGAGCAGCCAGAGUGGUCGACAAGGCCGACUUGCUGCUGUGGUUUCCAAGUAUCGCUAAUAGGUAACUUAUCCUGAAUACAUAGGGAUAAAGUGGCGAACGCGGGGAACUGAAACAUCUAAGUACCUGCAGGAAAGGACAUCAACCGAGACUCCGCAAGUAGUGGCGAGCGAACGCGGACCAGGCCAGUGGCGAUUGAGAGACAAGCGGAACCUUCUGGAAAGUAGGGCCAUAGCGGGUAACAGCCCCGUACGCGUAAUGCGAUCAAUCGUCCUCGAGUAAGGCGGGACACGUGAAAUCCUGUCUGAAAUUGGGAGGACCACCUUCCAAGCCUAAGUACUCGUGCAUGACCGAUAGCGAACUAGUACCGUGAGGGAAAGGUGAAAAGCACCC